UUUCCGUAGGUGAACCUGCGGAAGGAUCAUUAAAGAGUAAGGGUCUUCGGGCCCGAUCUCCAACCCUUUGCAUAACUACCAUGUUGCUUUGGCGGGCCCGUCUCACGACCGCCGGAAGUUUGGCUUCGACCAAACUUCUGGCCCGUGCCCGUCAGUGGCCCCUUCAAAUUCUUGAUCGAGAAUGAUGUCUUAGUUAAAAACUUAAUAGUUAAAACUUUCAACAACGGAUCUCUUGGUUCUG
RNAcentral lists this unclassified non-coding RNA (241 nucleotides) under plant metagenome. RNAcentral describes it as "partial contains small subunit ribosomal RNA, internal transcribed spacer 1, and 5.8S ribosomal RNA". The record is from RNAcentral.